UACGGAGGGGGCUAGCGUUGUUCGGAAUCAUUGGGCGUAAAGGGCGCCUAGGUGGCCAAGCAAGUCGGGUGUGAAAGCCCUCGGCUCAACCGGGGAAUUGCAUCCGAGACUGCUCAGCUUGAGUCCUGGAGAGGGUAGCGGAAUUCCCAGUGUAGCGGUGAAAUGCGUAGAUACUGGGAGGAACACCGGUGGCGAAGGCGGCUACCUGGACAGGUACUGACACUGACGCGCGAAAGCGUGGGGAGCAAACGGG
This 253-nucleotide ribosomal RNA is filed under the name uncultured bacterium. RNAcentral describes it as "partial 16S ribosomal RNA". It matches the Rfam family "Bacterial small subunit ribosomal RNA", at positions 524 to 776 of the family's 1533-position model. The record is from RNAcentral.